Molecule: ribosomal RNA, 497 nt
Filed under: uncultured bacterium
Lineage: Bacteria
Description: partial 16S ribosomal RNA
Rfam family: Bacterial small subunit ribosomal RNA
Source: RNAcentral
GAUGAACGCUGGCGGCGUGCCUAAUACAUGCAAGUCGAGCGAACGGACGAGAAGCUUGCUUUUCUGAUGUUAGCGGCGGACGGGUGAGUAACACGUGGAUAACCUACCUAUAAGACUGGGAUAACUUCGGGAAACCGGAGCUAAUACCGGAUAAUAUUUUGAACCGCAUGGUUCAAAAGUGAAAGACGGUCUUGCUGUCACUUAUAGAUGGAUCCGCGCUGCAUUAGCUAGUUGGUAAGGUAACGGCUUACCAAGGCAACGAUGCAUAGCCGACCUGAGAGGGUGAUCGGCCACACUGGAACUGAGAAACGGUCCAGACUCCUACGGGAGGCAGCAGUAGGGAAUCUUCCGCAAUGGGCGAAAGCCUGACGUAGCAACGCCGCGUGAGUGAUGAAGGUGUUCGGAUCGUAAAACUCUGUUAUUAGGGAAGAACAUAUGUGUAAGUAACUGUGCACAUCUUGACGGUACCUAAUCAGAAAGCCACGGCUAACUACGUG